UGGGGAAUUUUGCGCAAUGGACGAAAGUCUGACGCAGCGACGCCGCGUGUGCGAUGAAGGCCUUUGGGUCGUAAAGCACUGUCGACCGGGACGAAAACUCACGGACUAAUACUUCGUGAGUCUGACGGUACUGGUAAAGGAAGCACCGGCUAACUCUGUGCCAGCAGCCGCGGUAAUACGAAGGGGGCUAGCGUUGUUCGGAUUUACUGGGCGUAAAGCGCGUGUAGGCGGGUCGUUAAGUUGGGGGUGAAAUCCCGAGGCUCAACCUCGGAACUGCCUUCAAAACUGGCGACCUGGACCUAAGUAGAGGCAAGUGGAAUUGCGAGUGUAGAGGUGAAAUUCGUAGAUAUUCGCAGGAACACCAGUGGCGAAGGCGACUUGCUGGACUUAUGGUGACGCUGAGACGCGAAAGCGUGGGGAGCAAACAGGAUUAGAUACCCUUGUAGUCCCUGAGCGGGCUGGCAAGGCGCAU
Molecule: ribosomal RNA, 472 nt
Filed under: uncultured bacterium
Lineage: Bacteria
Description: bacterial SSU rRNA
Rfam family: Bacterial small subunit ribosomal RNA
Source: RNAcentral